AAUCAGCCACAGGCGCACAGGUGAAGGUAAUUCACCUGUGCAACUGGAAGGGUGGAGCCUGGCUCCACCUGUCCUAGACCCAUUUAAGUGCUGAUUGCCACUGAGGAAGGAUCUCUUCCUAGGGAUUUUUCCUUGGGGAGAAUAUUGUGAGCCUUACGUUGGCUUCUACAUCCUUUAUUAGAUCUACCUGUUAUGUAGCCUACUUGGACAUUAUUCACUUCUACAGUAUAGAUUUCCCCAGCCCUGGAUGUAGCUUGGAUUUUGCUUAAAAUGUUCAUCAGCUCAAGGUAUUUACAUAUCCCAUUUAUAUAGUAAUUUUAAAACUUUGAUGUUGGAAAUACUCUGCAUUGUAGUGCAAUGGAAAACUAGAAUUUGAGAAAUAUAUUACAGAUAUAGGCAAACACAAGCAGCCUUUCUUUGCUUGAAGUUUUCUGAUGAGGCAGACCUUAUUUUGGGAUCAAGACUACUUUGGAUCUGAAAAAAAUGCCUUCUAGAAGAAAAUCUGUGAUUUUUAACUAUCAGUUAAUGCUUGAAACUUUGAAUCUUAUCUGGUUAGUUAUGGCCAACCAGAAUUAAUUUGCAGCUAACAUACUGUCACAAAUGAUAGUGGAGUCUCCUAGAACAGUAAGCUGAGGUGAGUUACUUUUUCUUUUAAAAUGCAGUUCUUCCUUCAUGCAUACUAAUUGAUUGUGAUAUUUUUUUCAAGUACAGAUAACUUGUAUUGCACCCCGAGGAUGCAUUUUUAUCAUCGUGAGAUGUAUGGAAUAUUACUUUGCUUCAGGAGAUAAAAGCAAUUUCAUCUGAGCCCUUCUAGAAACUAGUGCAUCAACUUACCUAAUCAUCUGUAGCAUCUGCAAUGGUUAUCUUUCAAUAAGUAUUCUUCAGUAUUAUUAAUUUCUGUGAGAUUUUUACCUAUUAGAUGUUUCAGAUGGAAGAUGCUUCCUGUAUUUUUUCCAAAGUUAAGUAAGAUUAAACUGUAGCUCUUGUGAAUGAACCUUACCUCACUGGAUUUAAAACAGUAACAUCUUGUUGUAGGUUAGCACUGGAUAGCAGCAGACUCCCAAUGAGUCACUCAGCAGGAUGGGGAAAAAAUAGGGGGAAAAAAGGGAAAAAUGUAAGGUUGUCAUAAAGAUGCAGAGAUCAGUAAUUACUAAUUAUCAUCAUAUAGGCAUGACAGUCUUGACUUAGGAAAAAUUAACUUAAUUGACCACUAAUUUAAAAGAAAAUUCUAAUAAUGAAUUUGUAUAGUGAGAGAAAAAGAAACAUUAAAACAACAUUAAAUUUCCUCAGGACUCAAACAGUGCUUUCUUAACAGUUCAUCUCUGUUACUCAUUCUCUUUCCCUGCAUAAGGUCUCCGCAGACUAUAAAAUAAAUAAAAUAAACUAACACAAAAACCCACAUUGCUCUCCUCAGUUUGGUUCUUUCUAUACUGACUUAUUUCCUGCCCUUUCUCAAAAAUAUUUCCCCAAGGCACAGCUAUGUUGGCUAUGGGGACCAGUUGUGCCAGGCAUAGGGCCAUUGAAGUUAACUGGAAUCAUCCGUAUCCAUCGAGGACAGCCCAACAUCUCCUCAGAGACCCCUACAGUGCCCACUGUCAGCAGCUAGGCACCCACACCCCAAUUUAAAAAUAGUUGGUAGCAAUAAAAUUCAUAGGAAUAUAUGGAUGUAUUUCACUAAUCGGUUUUCCAGACAGUGGAAUUUUCUGGUUUUCUAAGUAUCUGGUACAUUCCAUAAGAAGUUCUUUAGACAUAAAAAUAAAAAAAACCCCACAAAGCAAAUAUCAUCUGUUCUGCUGAAUUUUCAUUGGUUUCAAAGUCCAUGUGGACUUAACCAAUCAUAGCUUGUUGCCUAAUAGUUUUAAUGGUAAUUCAUUUUUUCUUCUAAUUAAACACAGAUGUAGAUCUAAAAUUUAAGAAAAUAAGGAAAGCUGUAUUCCCAUGACAAGCUCAUAAUUUCCUUUUUCUACCACACUGCAGGGUCGUUGACAGUACCCCAGAGUCUGCCACAGAUGCACAUUAAUUACCUGUUCUGUAAUUACUAGGGUACCAGUAUAGCUGUUCAACCAUUCAUUAAGCUUUCUUCUCAACUUUGCAAAACCCCAGAGAUGUGUGCAAGAAGCACACAACUUGGCAAUAUUAAUUGAACCCUAUUAACUCCUAACAUGUACAAAAAAGUGUAACUAUAGAUUAAAAAAAAAUGCUUUUUUUAUUUUGUCCACUAAGCCCACAGCAAAUAAGUGAUCAUUUUUGGUACAGUCUGCUUAGAUAUUCAGCAACACAGCUGUUCACAGAUUGUUAAAUACUGGGCACACAUCAGCAAGAUUAAAGAAAAUUCUUGGCUAUUAAAUUACUAGUAUAAUUCCCUCAUUCAAGGCCUGCACAGAGAUGGUUAGCUGUGUAAGCAAAUCUAAGUACAAUGAUUAUCAAGAAAGUUAGGAUAUUAACAAGAGUCCUGUUAAAUAAAAAAAAAUAUAAUCAGGAAAAAAUACCUUCAAUUCUUUUGUAGCUCAUUUGUUUCCAAUAUCUAGAGACGUUCACUUUUUAUGUUUUAAAACAUCUUUUACCAACAUAAUUCAAUGCUUGAUAUGACUGAAGGUAGUGUUGUGACAUAAAUGAAUCAGUCACGAAGAAUGAAGUCUUGCUUUUAAAUGUCUAUAUUUUUCCUACGUCUGUCAAACUUCUGAUUUUUAAAUUCAUUUGUUGCAAAGAUGCCACAUUUUAUCAUCUUCUGUUUUUUACAAGCCUGUGAGAUAUUGUGAUGAUUCUCACUUGCUCUGAUUUUGGUUUACAUACUCUGCACUAGAAUCUUUAAGCAUAUCUUAUCUGAAUAGGAAUCAUUAUUACUUACUAAUACAGCCUGUAUUUCUUGAUAAAUAUGUCAAUUUAUUAAUAAUGACUUGUAAUCUACAUGUUGCCUAUCCGCUAUUCAGAAUCCUGUGGUGGAUUCUCAGCACUUCUUCCUUUUAAGAAGGAGAAAGUACUUUAAUGAAUAAUUUCUUUUCAAAGCCCUUUUCAAUAUAUUCAACAGAAUUGAAUAUAUUCCUAAGUAACAUUUUGGUACCUGGUAGAUUACACAUGUAUCCAAAGUCUGUAAAAAUGCAGUUGCUUCUUUCUAUUUUCUAAUUAUCUACAUCAGAGUAACGUUAUUAAUGAUGUUCUUGUAUUAAGUUGACCUCCUAGUAUAUUUUUAGCUUUGUAGAAUUUGAAGAGGGAAAACUUAGAAAACGUUUUACAGACAAACUUUGACAGUUAAGUUAAAUAGUGAGUAGUUUGAAAUACAUGUACAAAAAACUCUAUUGUAAAAUUAAAUGUUGAAUAAUUGUCAUUAUACCACAUUUUCGACAAAUUAGCCUAAGUGGUUUUUUAGAACUUUUGUAAGUAGUUAAGUAGUAACGAGUGCCUACUCUUUACAGUAGGUACUGAUCUAAGUUCAAUGUAAAUGAAUGAUUUUUGCAGUCUAUAGCAAUUAGCUCAAUAAAGGAAUCCUUAAAAAAUUUAUGAGUUACUAUUUAGAAGAAGUAUAUGGGAAAAAAAUGUCCUGCUUGGAAAGUAUUUCUGGAGACUAGAUUAUCCUGUUGUAUCAAAUGAGAUUCAAUAGCACGUGUUAACAUAUAAUGCACUUUAUAAGGUGAUCCUGUUUAAGCACAUUAAGCAUGUUACUCUUACUGCAAUUAAUCAGAAAAAAAUAUACUUGAAGUCAGUGUAUACUGGUUGUUCUUGUCUAAAUUCAUCCAGAAUUUCGGUUAUCUUUGCAUUUUUGAACAGUCAAGGAUGCAUGCCAGUAAACUCUCCAGUUUUGUCUCUGUUUUGGUAUGUUUACUCUUUCUUGCUUUAAUGUUUUCUCUCCUUGUGAUUAGUUAGAUCUGGAUUACACUUUGUUGCAGAUUACACAUGAGGGUAAUCAUAUUCCCUUUGUUAGGGUUUUGCCUGGAUUGACUAGAGGAGCACUAAGAUUAUUAAGGAUAAUUCAUGCCCUUCGUAGCAGAGAUUUUGUUUAAUGCCUUAAGUUAGAUGUUGAAUCACUGAUAAAAUAAAAAAGCCCCAGUAACAGUCAAAAUGCUGAGAUAACAAAACAUAGCAAAUAAAAUUCCACUCAAUAGCAUCAGACACAAUUACAAAAAUGUUAUAGCAGAAGGUUUGCUGUCCAAACUCUGGACAAUACUCAACUUACCAUGGAGGAUUACUCUAUAGCCACCUUAGGUGCAGAAUAGCCUUAAGGGAGCUAAUAAGUCUCUACUUCUUCCAAUGAAGAGCUAAGCCGUAGGUAAUUCCAGGUUGCUGAGUCCCAGUAGAAUCUCCUGCCUGAAGCUGGGCAGCAAGAGGCCUUCAGGGCAUGGGCUGUGUCCUUAUCUGCAUGGGGGUUUGGCUGCUGAGCCUGGCCCAGCAGAGGCUGCCUUUUUGGGGAGAUGUAGGUUUUGUCUGCAAGGCCCUAACUGGCCUGCAUCUGUAUCCAGCCCCACUGGUCCUGGUCCUCUGGGACCUGCUGUCCCUGCUGAGCCCUGACCGAAACUGGAAGGCAAGUACUUUUCUGCUUUUUAGGAAAUGCCAUAGGAUGCUUCUAAAUUCUACUUCCUCAAAAUAGUUAGGGCCUCCGGUAAUUUUGUACCUUGUACUGUUUCUAAUUAGACAUCCUUCAUGCAUAGUGCUUUUAAAAUAUGGAGCAUUACGGCAUUGUAAAGGCUAGAUAGCUGGUGCAUGCAGAAGAUUUGCCUUGUUAGUCAUUAUUUUGCACAGUGGAUGUUGUAUUUAUCUUGGGGGCAAUAUUUUUAUCUGUUUGGCAGUGAACUUUGUUAAGCUGGCUUAAUACUACUGACCUAUGCAGAAAUAUUUAUAUGCAUGAAAGAAUGUAUUAUUUUGGAAGGGAAAUUUGAAAUUUAUCUGUCUGUAAGAGACAAAGUAAAAUGAAUACUAGUUAGUCCCUGGUAAUUAGAAGUGAGACGUUAAAAUGAGGUUUAUAACCUGCCAUCCAGUAUUCCGUUUCUUUGUGCAGUCUACCUAUGUGAUAGAAUGAGUUUUAAUUCUGUUUUAUUAGCACUGCCAAUAAGCACAGCAAAUUUAGGAGAUUGUUUGAACCUACAAUUAGGAGGGAGUAGAAAGAUGGCAAAAGGGAAAGAAAGACUUACUUAAUAUGUAAUAUUUCUGUUUAAUGAUUCAAUGGUUUGUACCGUGCCACUAUGGAUUCUUUGGUGUGAAGGUCAGAAUUUAAAGAGCUGUAUUUUAAUUGGAUAUUUAGAUGAGCUAUAUUCAUUAUUAUUCUUAUUAAAUUAUAGCUGUAUAUAUCACUUUAUUGCUUUAGCAUCUUGUACAAGGACUUCAUUUGCAUUUAAUUAGUUUCUCUGUAAAAUGAUUUCUGGUUUUGAAAUUAUGCAUUUGUACAUUACAGAGCCAUCAAAUUAUCAGCCUCACUGCCAAAGAUCAAUCCAAAACUCUGAUAAGUGUGAUGAGGUAGGUUUUCCAUCAUUAAAAUUGCCUACAAAUUCUUCAGCACAGUCAAAAUGUCAUGGGCUGUUAUUUAAUUUGUUUAUGACUAGCAGGAGUUAAUGGAAUUGUGUGGUAAGAUGGGAUUUUCAAGAAAGCUACAGUGUUGUGAUUUAAAAAAAAAAAAGUGUAAGCAAGCAGUAUUAGAAAUCUGUUAUUA
Long non-coding RNA from Lagopus muta (rock ptarmigan), 5638 nucleotides. RefSeq lists it as uncharacterized. The record is from RefSeq and is a predicted model, not a curated record. Lineage: Eukaryota; Metazoa; Chordata; Aves; Galliformes; Phasianidae. The transcript has 2 exons.